Onychostoma macrolepis is the source of this 321-nucleotide long non-coding RNA. RefSeq lists it as uncharacterized. The record is from RefSeq and is a predicted model, not a curated record. Lineage: Eukaryota; Metazoa; Chordata; Actinopteri; Cypriniformes; Cyprinidae. The transcript has 3 exons.
CAGUGAGUAGCAUCUGCCUGCAAAACCGGAGGCUGCAUUUUCAGGACCGCAUUUCUAGGACCCUAGGUUUUUAGUGACAACGCCACCUACCGAAUUAGAGGACCAGCGAAGAUGGAUGACAGUCAGAGUGGAAGUGGAAGAAUUGAAUAGGGUGCUAGAGAAACAACUGAGAAAAGAGGGGAGAGCAUCCAGGUGGAGUCAGUGAAGACGUCGUCCAUGAAGUUCUUUCUAUGUGGUUCACGUCAUGAACAAAUUUGUUUUUGUGUGUGUUCAAGUUCAACUGUUGUAAUAUAUUAUUUUAUAAAAUAUACAGAAUCUUAA